AACGAACGCUGGCGGCAGGCUUAACACAUGCAAGUCGAACGGUUGUAGCAAUACAGCAGUGGCAGACGGGUGAGUAACACGUGGGAACCUUCCUAGGGGUACGGAACAACUCAGGGAAACUUGAGCUAAUACCGUAUACGUCCGUGAGGAGAAAGAUUUAUCGCCCUUAGACGGGCCCGCGUCGGAUUAGCUAGUUGGUGGGGUAACGGCCUACCAAGGCGACGAUCCGUAGCUGAUCUUAGAGGAUGAUCAGCCACACUGGGACUGAGACACGGCCCAGACUCCUACCGGGAGGCAGCAGUGGGGAAUCUUGGACAAUGGGCGCAAGCCUGAUCCAGCCAUGCCGCGUGAGUGAAGAAGGGUCUUCGGAUUGUAAAGCUCUUUUACCAGGGACGAUAAUGACGGUACCUGGAGAAUAAGCCCCGGCAAACUUCGUGCCAGCAGCCGCGGUAAGAUAGCGUACU
This 464-nucleotide ribosomal RNA is filed under the name uncultured bacterium. RNAcentral describes it as "bacterial SSU rRNA". It matches the Rfam family "Bacterial small subunit ribosomal RNA", at positions 29 to 531 of the family's 1533-position model. The record is from RNAcentral.